GAUGAACGCUGGCGGCGUGCCUAAUACAUGCAAGUCGAGCGAACGGACGAGAAGCUUGCUUCUCUGAGGUUAGCGGCGGACGGGUGAGUAACACGUGGGUAACCUACCUAUAAGACUGGGAUAACUUCGGGAAACCGUAGCUAAUACCGGAUAAUAUUUUGAACCGCAUGGUUCAAAAGUGAAAGACGGUCUUGCUGUCACUUAUAGAUGGAUCCCCGUUGCAUUAGCUAGUGGGUAAGGGAACGGCUUACCAAGGCAACGCUGCAUAGCCGACCUGAGAGGGUGAUCGGCCACACUGGAACUGGGACACGCUCCAGACUCCUAGGGGAGGCACCAGUGGGGAACCUUCCGCAAUGGGCGAAAGCCUGCCGGAGCAACGCCGCGUGAGUAAUGAGGGUCUUGGGAUCGUAAACCUUGGUGUUUGGGGAAGAACAUAUGUGUAAGUAACUGUGCACAUCUUGACGGUACCUAAUCAGAAAGCCACGGCUAACUACGUG
Molecule: ribosomal RNA, 497 nt
Filed under: uncultured bacterium
Lineage: Bacteria
Description: partial 16S ribosomal RNA
Rfam family: Bacterial small subunit ribosomal RNA
Source: RNAcentral